This 301-nucleotide ribosomal RNA is filed under the name uncultured bacterium. RNAcentral describes it as "partial 16S ribosomal RNA". It matches the Rfam family "Bacterial small subunit ribosomal RNA", at positions 509 to 807 of the family's 1533-position model. The record is from RNAcentral.
CAGCCGCCGCGGGAAUACGAAGGGGGCUAGCGUUGUUCGGAUUUACUGGGCGUAAAGGGCGCGUAGGCGGACUGAUAAGUCAGGGGUGAAAUCCCAAGGCUCAACCUUGGAACUGCCUUUGAUACUGUUUGUCUUGAGUUCGAGAGAGGUAAGUGGAACUGCGAGUGUAGAGGUGAAAUUCGUAGAUAUUCGCAAGAACACCAGUGGCGAAGGCGGCUUACUGGCUCGAAACUGACGCUGAGGCGCGAAAGCGUGGGGAACAAACAGGAUUAGAUACCCGAGUAGUCCCUGUCUCUUAUAC